UUAGACUCUACAAAGGUUGAAAAUGAUGUUCCUUGAAAUUCUGUUUCUCCUGGGCCAAAUAAUGGUCAGCCACGCAUCAGAUCAUUGUGAUUUUCUGGAGGGGGUCUUGGCAAACUACCCCCAGUGCACUGCCAUUGAUUGCAUUGGUCUCACUUGCACACCACCAGUCCCCUUUGAAAACUUUACUGUGAGUUUACAGUCAUAGAAUGCACGGAUCCAGUUCAAGUGAUUUUACGAUUAUCUCAAGCAGUGGAGCAAUGUUCACAAGUUUGUUUGAUCGCGGUCAAGUGGUUCAGUUUGGUUCAUGGAACACGAGUGUCAAUGUGGAGAUGUCUCGCAAUUAGCCUACUCGCAAUGCAACACAUUUGGGCAUGCAUCGUCAAUGAAUGUGAUAUAUGUUUUAUGAACACUGAAAUAUUUAAGAUGUCACUCUUGCAAGAUGCCAUAGAUUUUACUAUAAGCAGCAAUUUGAUUGGCUAGAGGUAGUGUUCUCUCCAAUUUAGAUGAUCAUUUUGAUCAUGUCGCAUAGAUUACAGAUUGUAGAUAAGAAAAAUCAAGAGCUCAUCUGCUAUUACCUAAAACGCUUUGACACUGUUUAGUGACCGUUUAGAAGCCCUCAGGGCGAGAGAACCCUCACUGUAUGUGUUUGCGAUUCUACAACACCUUUCUAGAAACUUCCUAAACAGUAUCUCUGUUUUGUUAACUAUGACAUACCUGUAAAAAGAGGCAAUGCAAAUAGUUGUGUACUUUGUGUCAACAAUCCAAUAGGAAAGUGCGCCAAGCCAGUAUCCCUCGGACAGAGCACAAGCACUUGUGGUUAAAACUUACCCAGUACGUCACCCCCCCCACACACACAUACACAUAUACAUUCAUCCACCGCCCCCUCCCACACACACACAUUCAUUAACCGCCCCCUACACAUGCACACAUGCACACACAGGGCAAACUAGACUAUCUGACCUACCCUCACAGACCAAUGAUUGCUGAUAUUGUACCUAACAUCAUUAACGCUGUCAUGCUAGAGAUUACAUAAUUCAAGAAAGACCCUGAAUCUUGCCAUGCAUGGUGUGACUGUAUACAUGCAUGCUAAGGAUUCAACUGGUAAUCGGACGCCCUGAAUUUGCAUGUUUGCAUGCACUAUCCCUUGUAUUGGGAGCCACAACACUUUCGGUUCGUGGAGUGAGCAUUGAUAAAUUAACCAACUGUCAGUGGGCUGUGAUGUCAGGUGUGGUGAGUGUGGUAGAGGACAGCUGCAGUCUGUCUCUCUGUUGUGACCUCUACAAAGGAGGGAAGCUUUUCAAUGGUAAGAUGUACAAGUGCAUUAUUAAAAUUGAU
Long non-coding RNA from Halichondria panicea, 1335 nucleotides. RefSeq lists it as uncharacterized. NCBI's taxonomy places the organism in Eukaryota, Metazoa, Porifera, Demospongiae, Suberitida, Halichondriidae. The record is from RefSeq and is a predicted model, not a curated record. The transcript is spliced from 3 exons.